RNAcentral lists this transfer RNA (66 nucleotides) under Anatolichthys anatoliae anatoliae. RNAcentral describes it as "Aphanius anatoliae anatoliae tRNA-Tyr". It matches the Rfam family "tRNA". Rfam says of the family: Transfer RNA (tRNA) molecules are approximately 80 nucleotides in length. Their secondary structure includes four short double-helical elements and three loops (D, anti-codon, and T loops). Further hydrogen bonds mediate the characteristic L-shaped molecular structure. tRNAs have two regions of fundamental functional importance: the anti-codon, which is responsible for specific mRNA codon recognition, and the 3' end, to which the tRNAs corresponding amino acid is attached (by aminoacyl-tRNA synthetases). tRNAs cope with the degeneracy of the genetic code in two manners: having more than one tRNA (with a specific anti-codon) for a particular amino acid; and 'wobble' base-pairing, i.e. permitting non-standard base-pairing at the 3rd anti-codon position. Lineage: Eukaryota; Metazoa; Chordata; Actinopteri; Cyprinodontiformes; Aphaniidae. The record is from RNAcentral. RNAcentral also lists the same sequence under 1 other name.
UAAAAUGGCUGAGCGUCAAGCGGUGGAUUGUAAUCCCAUGUACAGAGGUUAAACUCCUCUUUUUAU